CACGUAGGGGCCAAGCGUUGUCCGGAUUUAUUGGGCGUAAAGAGCUCGUAGGCGGUUCGACAAGUCGGGUGUGAAAACUCCGGGCUCAACCCGGAGACGCCACCCGAUACUGUCGUGACUGGAGUCCGGUAGGGGAGUGGGGAAUUCCUGGUGUAGCGGUGAAAUGCGUAGAUAUCGGGAGGAACACCUGUGGCGAAGGCGGCCCCCUGGUUGGAUACUGACGCUGAUACGCGAAAGCGUGGGGAGCAAACAGG
This 254-nucleotide ribosomal RNA is filed under the name uncultured bacterium. RNAcentral's name for it is "partial 16S ribosomal RNA". It matches the Rfam family "Bacterial small subunit ribosomal RNA", at positions 524 to 776 of the family's 1533-position model. The record is from RNAcentral.